GAAAAGUCCGUUCUCAUUCACGUCCAUCUGAUUCGAGUUGUUGGCCUGUGGGGAGGGGUUGGCGUAGUUCUUUCUUCUAACUUCAGGUUUCUCCAGGGUCGCUGCCUUCAGAUGUCUUUAAUGACUCGUCACCUCUCAGUCACCAGGGCUCCAGCUGCUGCAGACUCCGACAUCCCUCGAGGGAAGGCAGGGCUUGGCCAGGGUGGGCAGCCGCCACCGGGGCUGUGCUGCACGUUCUUGUCCAAUCCCUUUCAAAAGAGCAAGCAGAGGUGACCCUCUUGGAUAAACAGGAGCCCGAUUUCUCUCUCCGUCUUGAAGAUGUUCCUCCCAAACGAAUAAUAAACCCAAAUAGAAAUCCAGGCUUUGGCCACAGCUGGUGGAACAGCCCCACUUGGGGGAGGUAAAGCAUUCCGGUUGCUCCUCAUUUCCCCUCCUACCUGUAUGAUCUUCUGGGGAAUAUUUAUUACAGAUUAAGAGAACCAUGAACAUCAGCAAGCUCCGAUUUUCUGAGAAACUCCUGCCUUGAUCACAGAGUUCUGUUCUCGGGGACACUAAGCCGAAGUGGACUAAGGAAAGGCCUUAGAAGGAGCUGAAAGAUGGUUCCAGAACAACCCAGUCCCAGUGUACGAGAACCAGCUGCAACUGCCAGGAGACCCGAGAUGGGCAGGCAGAUCCAGGAUGGCACAGAGUGCCAUUUAUCGGCCACUUAAUGACUGAAGUGUGGUUCUUGGGUGGCAGCGACACCAAGUGGGUUCCGCAAGUCGAGUCAGAAGGAGAGCUGUGCAUCCUGGGAAGGACAAAAGUAGCUCUAUCCCGGACGGAAGGGAGCUGGUUUCUCUCAAGCUGAUAUCCGAGGGCUGGGCCCAUUGCUGGCGCCAGAGUCCAGUUGUAAAGCUCCACAUACCUCUCGUGGUUUGAUCUAUUCGUAGCAUGCUAAGAAACUGUGCAGGAAGACUGGCGGGGACAAGGGUGGUGGUGUUAUGGACCAGGCUAUAUGAGCAAUGACCCAACAGACUCCAUUUUGCCCUAGACUCCAGGUAAUGUGAGAAACGCUUCUCCCAUGGGAAUACCCCCUCCAUACCCAUCAAUAGGUGCUUAGCAUAGAAUGUUAGGGGCACAAGAUGGCAAUUCUUAUAAGAUGUAAAAUUGUUGUCUCUUUGGUUCCCAUUUUCCUUGGACAAUGAACCCUGCCAGAGAAUGACUAUCUAGAUGUUAGUAACCAUUCUUUAACUUGUACUCAACUAGGGUCGUUUUGACCCACUUCUCCUUCUGCUUAUGAUUUGAGAUCUCAUGCUGUUUGUGGUCUUGAAUCAUAGCAACAGCUGCUUAUGACUCAUGUACUGGCAUGUUUUACUUAUGGUAUAAAAGGGGCACUCAAACCGCUGGAGGGGGUCGGAGAUGUAGACUUGCAGCCUGCCCCUGGUGGAUCCGAUCACCAGCUGGCGAUAAAGAUGGUUCAUCUUCUGCUUUAAGUUUGACUCAGUGAUUUAUUACAAUCUUUGCCAUAACUGUGGUGACGACUCAAGAUGGCCACAGUCACGUCAGUUGAAUCCACAUAGGCGUCAGGAAGGGCCUUAUCAUUAUAGGGCACACAUCACUUUGUAUAUUACCCCACGAUUUUUUGAUUGAACCCAGGAGAGCUUUACCACUGAGCUACAUCCCUGGUCCUAUUUAUGUAUUUAUUUUUGAGAGAGGGUCUCACUAAGUUGCCCAGGCUCAUCUCGAAUCUGAGAUCCUCCUGCCUCAGCCUCCUGAACUGCUGGGAUUACAGGUGUGCACCACCACUCCUGGCCACCUCACACAUUUCCCCAACAAUUUUCAUUUUGUAGUCAUGUCUAACAUAUGUCCACCCAACUUUGGUACAGGUGAAUACAGGUAGAUUUAUUAGCAUUAUCAAUACAGACUCAUGGACUCUUAAUUUUUUUUAACACAUAACUGUUCUUAAUAUAUCUGUAUCUCUAUCUCUAUAUUUUUAUUGAGAUGUUAAAAUUACCCUAGAUAUAAUUAUAUGACAGAAAUGGACUAGAAACCAUGAGUUUAUAGCUCUAAUUCAUACCAACUCUGCAGGGGGCUUCGUUGUUUCUCUCUUCCAUACUUCUGUCCCCUUCUCUGCUCAGGUCUACGAGACACAUAAAUAACAUGGUGUCUGCUACACUCGUUGCAGGAAAAGCAGACCUGAAAGGAGGGCACCAAGAUCUGCCUGCAGCGUCUUACUCUUGGGGAUGAAUAGUCCCAGUCCUGCACUUAGAUAAUGAGACUCUUUCCUCCUCCUCCUCCUCCUCCUCCUCCUCCUCAUUCUUCUUCUUUAAAUUUGUUCUUUUUAGUUAUACAUGACAGUAGAAUGCAUUUUAAAAUAUUAUACAGACCUGUUUGAGUUUUUCUUUUUAUUCUGUUUCAGGACUUUUAUUGUCUUGUUAAUUUAACUGCUCUUUUUAAUAUAUUGAAUAUUAACAUUAUUCCAAAAGUGUACAUUGCAUCAAUAGAUCCACAAGAGAAGUGCCGUUCCCUCCCCACUGCAACCUCUCUGGUCUAGUCCUCUUCCCCAGUCCACUUUAGGGAAUCAUUUAAUGACUUUCUG
RNAcentral lists this long non-coding RNA (2578 nucleotides) under Marmota monax (woodchuck). The record is from RNAcentral. Lineage: Eukaryota; Metazoa; Chordata; Mammalia; Rodentia; Sciuridae.